Molecule: non-coding RNA, 2052 nt
Organism: Pelobates cultripes (western spadefoot toad)
Lineage: Eukaryota; Metazoa; Chordata; Amphibia; Anura; Pelobatidae
Source: the annotation of a GenBank genome assembly
GGGAAGAGGAAUUUAUUAUGCCGAGGGGGAAGGUGAGCCUUUGGGAAGGGGUGAGCUAGAUUGGCAAGGACAUUUUGAUUACAUUAAGGGCAUACUGUAUGAGAUUAUGCACCGUUAUUUAUAGAGUUAUAAUCGUUUUAGUUAUUUAUAUGUACAGUUUUAUACGAAUUGGAUGCGUUAUACAGUAUUAGUGUAUUUUAAUAACAGGUGUGAGAGAGGCUGGACUAGGAAACGACUAUUUCUUUCAGCCCAAGUAACUUUCAGCCAAGUUGUAGAAUUUUUCAUUGUUUAGUGAAUAAAGCCCAUUCUGGUUUAAUUUGUGCGGUGUGGUGGUUUAUUUGAGCAGAGAUACGCAGACAGUGGAACUAAGUGAAGAAUUUGAUCAGAGACGCCUCAAUCCAUUGCAUUCCGCAGGUUGGUAAUCUCAAAACCCAUGUCCUUUCUCAGAAUUUUUCACCUUUUAACGCACGGUGUGUCCUGUUCUUGAUGUGGCAGGGCGGAGCAGUGUUUGUCAGUCAUAGAACAAAGGAUUAGUAUAGGAGAUUUAUAACUGCUAAUUAAUCUGCUAAUAUUUACAGAGCUCAUGUGAUGUGAACUAAAAGACGUAAAAUAAGAAGCCUCGUUGGGAAACGCAGAGACUCUGACUUAUUCAAUGUUUUGCCACGUUUAAGGAUAAUGGCGAUGGUAUAAAAACACACGUGUGGAUCCUUCAUUCCGCUCUUGAAAUAUGGCUUAAAAUAUCUUUUUUUAAAUUAGGUUUUGGCCAGGAGGAUGUCACGGGAGAUGCUCAGUUAUGGCAAACAAAGUGCGUUCCUGGUGGUUUUAUUGGUAAAAACUUUUCAAACGUUGGCAUGUCCUGAUCUUUGUGAGUGUUCGGUUGCAAGAGUGGAUUGCAAUGGAAAACGUUUUUACUUUAUUCCGGAAACCAUGGACCAUAAAACAGACAGCAUAUUACUGGCCUUCAAUGAAAUAUCUAGCGUUCAAUCGAUGGCUUUCUCAGCGUUCCAUCUUCUUACACACCUGGAGCUGCAGAACAACCUCCUGUCCAGAAUACACAGGAAUGGCUUCCACGGCCUGCGCAACCUGAGCUACCUCGACUUGAGCAGCAACCGACUAACGUCCAUUACGCCCGAUGUUUUUACCCCCCUGUCCAGGCUGACCAAACUCAACCUGGGAAACAACCGGCUCUCCCAGCUGCCUGCAAAUAUCCUGCUGCCGUUAGUACAUUUGCAAAGCCUUUAUUUGUACAAUAAUGCCCUGAACGGGCUCCAGGUCGAGGUCUUGACCUGCGCUCCAGCGCUAACAGAACUGCGACUGGAUGGGAACCCCUGGGCCUGUACCUGUCAGAUUCAACACAUGGUGUCUUGGAUGAUCGAGAACGGGCAAAUAAUGAAAGGUAAGCGGUGUUAUUAAGGUGAUAGAAUCGCAUUAUAUAGAGAUCAUUUUGCAAGCCCUCCCCUCUUUUCAGUCUGUGUGGAAAGAUGACCAAUUACUGGGAGGGCUUUGAUUUUAAGCCACUUCCAAGUGUGCGUGCUCGGCCCUAGGGGGCAGGGGUGCUGAGGUACACUGAGCUCCAUGGACGCUCGCUCACAGACUCACUGUGACUUGGGGGAGAAGGCAGACACGCUCUAACAGCAUCGGAAAGUUAACCUGCAUGCUGGGGGAGGGGGAGAGAGGGGGGUCUCUGCAAAUAUUUAUAAAAGUGUAAAUUUCAAACAGAAAUCAGUACUUUUAUAAAUUGCAAUUAUGAGUGUACACUGAUCAGCCACAACAUUAAACCUACUGCCUGGUGAAGUGAAUAACAUUGAUUAUCGUUACAAUGGCCCCUGUCACGGGGUGGGAUAUAUUAGGCAGUAAGUGAACAGUCGGUUCUUGAAUUUCACGUGUUGGAAGCAGGAAAAAUGGGCAAGUGAGACCAUCUGGGUGACUUUGACACAUAUCACCUACCUAGAGAUAGUUGCAGACCACGUACACUCCUUAAUGGCAAUAGUGUUACCUUGGCCUCCAAAUUCCCCAGCUCUCAAUCAGAUUGACCAUCUGUGGGAUGUGCUC